RNAcentral lists this ribosomal RNA (417 nucleotides) under Salmonella enterica subsp. houtenae. RNAcentral describes it as "partial 23S ribosomal RNA". It matches the Rfam family "Bacterial large subunit ribosomal RNA", at positions 161 to 584 of the family's 2925-position model. Lineage: Bacteria; Pseudomonadati; Pseudomonadota; Gammaproteobacteria; Enterobacterales; Enterobacteriaceae. The record is from RNAcentral.
AAUCCAUAGGUUAAUGAGGCGAACCGGGGGAACUGAAACAUCUAAGUACCCCGAGGAAAAGAAAUCAACCGAGAUUCCCCCAGUAGCGGCGAGCGAACGGGGAGGAGCCCAGAGCCUGAAUCAGCAUGUGUGUUAGUGGAAGCGUCUGGAAAGGCGCGCGAUACAGGGUGAGAGCCCCGUACACAAAAGCGCACGUGCUGUGAGCUCGAUGAGUAGGGCGGGACACGUGGUAUCCUGUCUGAAUAUGGGGGGACCAUCCUCCAAGGCUAAAUACUCCUGACUGACCGAUAGUGAACCAGUACCGUGAGGGAAAGGCGAAAAGAACCCCGGCGAGGGGAGUGAAACAGAACCUGAAACCGUGUACGUACAAGCAGUGGGAGCCCCACCACUAAGCCAGUGGUGAACUCCACAUACGCA